GACGAACGCUGGCGGCGUGCUUAACACAUGCAAGUCGAACGGAAAGGCCCUGCUUUUGUGGGGUGCUCGAGUGGCGAACGGGUGAGUAACACGUGAGUAACCUGCCCUUGACUUUGGGAUAACUUCAGGAAACUGGGGCUAAUACCGGAUAGGAGCUCCUGCUGCAUGGUGGGGGUUGGAAAGUUUCGGCGGUUGGGGAUGGACUCGCGGUUUAUCAGCUUGUUGGUGGGGUAGUGGCUUACCAAGGCUUUGACGGGUAGCCGGCCUGAGAGGGUGACCGGGCCCAUGGGGCUUGAGGAAGGGCCAAGACUCCAACGGGGGGAAGGGGUGGGGAAUAGUGCCAAAUGGGCGGAGGCUGGGUGGAGGAUCGCCGGGUGGGGGAGGACGGCCUGGGGGUUGUAAACGGAUUUCGCUUGUAACGAAGCGUGGGUGACGGUAAUGGGUAAAGAAGCCCCGGCUAAUUACGU
This 467-nucleotide ribosomal RNA is filed under the name uncultured bacterium. RNAcentral's name for it is "partial 16S ribosomal RNA". It matches the Rfam family "Bacterial small subunit ribosomal RNA", at positions 28 to 506 of the family's 1533-position model. The record is from RNAcentral.